RNAcentral lists this long non-coding RNA (8489 nucleotides) under Capsicum annuum. Its description in RNAcentral is "long non-coding RNA (CANN_LNC003546)". Lineage: Eukaryota; Viridiplantae; Streptophyta; Magnoliopsida; Solanales; Solanaceae. The record is from RNAcentral.
ACAUCACUAUAUAAACUUCUAUGACUUUACCCUUCCUUAUGGCUACAAUGCCUCUAGGAUAUACAUGACAUAACUAGGGUCGGGACAAACCCCUGCCCACACCUGAAUCAUGUACAAUAACAAAACAUAAGGAACCGACUCGGAAAGCUCCGAAGCAAACUGGAGCUCACCAACAAUAGCUGUAUGACCUGGCGCCUACUGGUGCGGUGGAUGAGCUGAGGUACCUGUGCCUGCAGCAUGAAAUGCAGGUCCCCCGUGAGGGACGUCAGUACGAAAUAUGUACUGAGUAUGUAAAGCUGUAAAUAAUCACAUAUGAUAUAGGAGCUCAAUAGAAAUCAGAAACAAGUGAAUAAGUCGUAAUAGGAGUGGACCAUACUUACUAGAACUUGUGACAACCUGUACAUUGUAUUUAUUCAAUCACUUUACCUUCGUUCUUAUCGUCUUUGUAAUCAUUACUGUACUGUACUGUGACCAUUAGGAUGCCUCCAGUACAUAUCAACUGGGAUCGACCCAUGCUAGGCUUAUGCCCCUGGGAUACCACCCAUAAACACAUGAAAUAGGGAUCGACCCAUGCUAGGCUUAUGCCCCUGGGAUACCACCCGAUAAGAAAGAACUCCCAUCACUUAGUUCAAUUAAUCUUUGAGAUUGUUAUUUCGGUCGCCACCACAUUUUUGAUACUUUGAAACAAUGAUACAUCAAUAGGAACCAAGUAAUAGACCUUCUAUACAAUAACGAUGUAAUAAAGACUCAUUGGUACAUCAACAAUGUGUUUCAGAAUCAUCAAUAUCACAACAAUGAAAUAGGAGCCUUUUGGUAUAUCAAUGAAACAUUUUGACACUUUAUAGGAUGGAAACAACUUCGUUGGUAACGUAGAACAAUACAUGUUUUUGGACAACCUCGGAAUCUUACUUGAUGGAACAUUGGUGUUUUCAUGCCAAAGAACAUUGUUAGAGUAUGCUUUACAUACCUCGUUGUAGAUUCAGAUACCAAUUCAACACAACUUCCCGCCUUUACAAAUCACUUAUCUACAAUGAAAUGUUUGGCAUCUAGUAUUAGCAACCCAACACCACAAUUCUCUUCCAUAAUUCCAUACUACCAAUAUUUGCAAAACAUUCCAAAAACCAACUUGAACAAUAGGUUUAUGUGUGUAUAUAUAUAUAAUCAUCAUUUCAAUACCACAUCAUCAAUACCACAUCAUCACCCCAAAUUCCUUCACAAUUUAACAUAAUCCAACCAUGCACAAGAAUAAUCCAACAUCAUUUCCAAUCAUCUUUCAACAACAAUCAAAUAACAUACUUCUUAUGCUCACAUGCAUAUAUAUAUAUAUACAUAUCCAUAUAAAUAACACCAACAUAAUUUACAUCCUUACCAAAAAAAUGGCCCUUUUGAUUUCGAAGUCCUGUUGGCACAAAUAAGGGGUGCUUCUCGAAGCCCUUGAGACGGUGAACACAACUACGGAAUCAAUUUGGAUUUUCUACGGUUGAAUCACAAGAUAAUUGGAGUUGAACUUAGGCUAGGGUUUCUUAUUCUUCAAUGAUUUGGAUGAUAAAUGGUGGAUAUAAGGCUAAGUAUAUGUAUAUAAUGACCAAUUUUCGUCCAUGAGGUGAUGGAAAAUGACCAUAUUGCCCUUAAAAAUUUAAGUAAAUCCGAAUCUGUCCAUGGUGGACUGUUUUGAUAGGCUAAAGUAAAUCGGCCAUAACUCUUUGCUCCGAUAUCGGAUUUGGGUGAAAUUGGUAUCGUUAGAAAGAUAAUUCAAAGGUAUUUCAUUUAAUAUAAAUUAAUCCACCCAGUUCGUCCUGUACAAGUAGUUAUGAUCGUUUGAAGUUGACCCUAAAAAUCUGUUUUGAGAGGCUGAAGUAAAACGAGUAUAACUCCUUACUCAGAUGUUGGAUUUGGAUGAAACCAAUUUCAUUGGAAAGAAGACUCAAAGAUCUUUCUUUUGAUAUAUGGUAGCUCAACCAGUUCAUUAUAUUGAGGGAGUUAUGAUCGUUCAAAGUUGACCCAAAAAACUGGCAGGCCUCAGUAGUUUCCUGCACAUUUUACUGUUCACAUCCCGGCCACCGUUUUAAAGUUUCGAACGAGCUCGCUUAUAUCCGAAACUUAUCCGUUUUUGGAAAUCUUUAUAUCGUUGGAAAGCUUAUUCAAUAACCUUCGUAUGGAACCAUCGACGGGAAAAUUCCGAUAUAAAUAAAGUCGAUUCCUAUACACCUAUAAUCAAACUAUACACUUGAAACCAUCUCAAAAUAAUCAAUACUCAUACUUAAACUCAUAUAUACCUAACUUAGGAUCAAUACAUAUACCCCAACACAUAUAACAAUGACUAAUGCACGUAAUUAAGUACGGGGUGUUACAUCCUUCCCCCCUUAAGGACAUUCGUCCUCGAAUGUGAAUGUAGUUAUUUAGCCGAAACAAGUUCAAGUCCACCAUUAACAUUCACAUCAUCACAUAAAUACUAUGCAUAUAUAAACAAAAACUUACUUGUUAAUGUUCUAACUCCGUUUCUUGAACUUCCUCUUCAUCUUUGAACAAAUGAGGGUACUUAGAUUUCAUUGCUUCCUCAGCUUCCCAUGUAAUCUCUUCCCUUUGUUGAUUUCUCCAAAGUACCUUUACUGAUGCCAUUUCUUUGUUCCUUAACUUUUUAACUUGGCGAUCUAGAAUAGCAACCGGUACCUCUUCAUAAGUAAGAUCCUCUGUGACCUGUACAUCUUCUAUAGGAGUGAUACGAGAGGGGUCACCUAUGCAUUUUCGAAGCAUUGACACAUGAAACACUGGAUGAACCAUUGAAAGUUCCUGGGGUAGCUCUAAUUCAUAUGCAACUUGUCCGACCCUCUUGGUAAUCUUAUAUGGCCCUAUGUAACGUGGGCUUAGUUUCCCUUUUUUACCAAAUCUCAUAACCCCUUUCAUUGGUGAUACCUUUAAAAAUACCCAAUCUCCAAUAGAGAAUUCCAGCCCUCUUCUCCGAAUAUCUGCAUAUGAUUUAUGACGACUUUGGGCUGUUUUUAGCCGUUGUUGUAUCACCUUGACUUUUUCUAUGGCUUGAUACACAAGAUCCGGUCCGAACAUAAGAGUUUCACCCGCUUCGAACCAUCCUAUUGGUGAUCUACACUUUCUCCCAUAUAAAGCUUCAUAUGGUGCCAUUUUGAUACUUGAAUGAUAGCUAUUAUUGUAGGCAAACUCAAUAAGAGGUAAAUGAUCAUCCCAGCUGCCUUUAAAAUCUAUAACACAUGCUCGUAGCAUAUCUUCAAGUGUUUGAAUGGUGCGCUCUGCUUGUCCAUCCGUCUGAGGGUGAAAAGCUGUACUCAGAUUCACUUGUGUUCCCAAACCCCGUUGGAAAGACUUCCAAAAGUUUGCAGUAAAUUGAGUUCCCCGAUCCGAUAUAAUAGAAGUUGGCACUCCAUGUAAUCGGACUAUUUCUUUAACAUACAGCUUCGAAUAUUCUUCAACUGUGUAAGUGGUCUUAACGGGUAAGAAAUGUGCGGAUUUAGUAAGCCUAUCCACAAUCACCCAUAUAGAAUCAAAUUUUCGAGCUGUACGAGGCAAACCUGUAACAAAAUCCAUGUUGAUCAUGUCCCACUUCCAAAUUGGAAGAUCUAUGCAUUGCAUAUAGCCUCCGGGUUUUUGGUGCUCAACUUUAACUCUUUGACAAUUUGGACAUUCAGCUACAAAUUCUGCAAUGCUCUUCUUCAUGUCAUUCCACCAAUACAUAUCUUUCAAAUCUUGAUACAUUUUGGUUGAUCCUGGAUGAAUGGAAUACCUUGAAAAAUGUGCCUCUGUCAUAAUCUUCUUUCUUAGCCCGUCUAUAUCCGGCACACACAAUCGGUUUUGGCACUGAAGUACUCCUUCUCGCGUAAGCUCAAAUGCCUUGGUCGCACCACUCUGAACGUUCUCCUUAAGAUGUAAUAAAAUAGGAUCUGCAUAUUGCUUCUCUUUCACUUCAGCUACUAAUGAAGAUUCCGCAGCAUUAUGUACGAUAAGCUCUUUAUUCGGAGUUUCAAGAAGGCGAACUCCCAAACUAGCUAACUGGUGAAGAUCUUUAACCAUCCCUUGCCUUUCUAUAGGCGCCAUCAUAGCCUUACGACUUAACGCAUCAGCUACCACAUUUGCUUUCCCUGGAUGGUACAAGAUAUCAACAUCAUAGUCCUUUAAUAGUUCAAGCCAUCUCCGCUGCCUUAAAUUUAGAUCCUUCUGAUUAAAAAUAUAUUGCAAGCUCUUAUGGUCAGUAUAUAUAUCAACGUGAACCCCAUAUAAGUAGUGGCGCCAUAUCUUUAAAGCAAAAAUAACCGCUGCCAGCUCAAGAUCGUGUGUAGGAUAAUUUUUCUCAUGUGGCCGUAAUUGUCUAGAAGCAUAUGCUAUUACCUUACCAUGCUGCAUCAAUACACAUCCUAAACCAAUUCUGGAAGCAUCACAAUACACUGUAUACCCUUCGGUGCCUUCUGGUAGUACCAACACGGGUGUAGAAAUCAACUUGUUCUUUAAAUCUUGAAAACUCUUCUCACAGGCAUCAUUCCAUUGGAAUUUGGAUGCUUUAUGGGUUAGCUUGGUUAAGGGUGCUGAAAUGGAAGAAAAGUCUUUGACAAACCUUCUAUAAUAACCGGCCAACCCAAGAAAACUACGAAUCUCCGUAGGCGUUGUGGGCCUUGGCCAGUUCUUCACAGCCUCUAUCUUUUGAGCAUCAACCUUUAUCCCUUCACUAGAUACAAUAUGACCCAAAAAUGCCACCGACUUUAACCAAAACUCACAUUUAGAGAACUUUGCAUAAAGCUUACAAUCACGAAGAGUCUGCAAUGCCUGUCGUAAGUGAUUGGCAUGGUCCUCUUCUGAUCUAGAAUAAACUAGAAUAUCAUCUAUAAAAACUAUCACAAAUACAUCCAGGAAUGGCUUAAAAACCCUAUUCAUCAAAUCCAUAAAAGCUGCGGGUGCAUUUGUUAGCCCAAAUGACAUAACUAGAAACUCAUAAUGACCAUACCUUGUUCGGAAAGCUGUUUUGGGUAUAUCUUUUUCUUUGACCCUCACUUGGUGGUAACCUGACCUCAAAUCAAUCUUAGAAAAGCACUUGGCGCCCUGUAACUGAUCAAAUAAAUCAUCAAUUCUUGGGAGAGGAUAUUUAUUCUUAAUAGUCACCUUAUUCAAUUGCCGAUAAUCAAUACACAUCCUCAGCGAGCCAUCCUUUUUGCGUACAAAUAACACUGGUGCUCCCCAAGGGGAAAUACUAGGCCUAAUGAACCCCUUUUCUAGCAAAUCUUUCAAUUGCUCUUUCAAUUCUCGUAAUUCUGCUGGGGCCAUUCUAUACGGAGGAAUGGAGAUUGGUUGGGUGCCUGGUAUUACAUCAAUACCAAACUCUACUUCUCGUUCAGGAGGCAAACCUGGAAGAUCUUCAGGAAAUACAUCAGAAAAUUCAUUUACCACCGGAACAGCGUGAAGAGUUGGUGGCUCCGCUUCUGUAUCCCUUACUCUAACUAAAUGAUAUAUAUAUCCCUUGGAAAUCAUUCUUCUCGCCUUAAAAUAAGAAAUAAAUCUACCUCUUGGCACGCUAAUUUCACCUUUCCAUUCAAGGACUGAUUCAUUUGGAAAAUGGAAAUAUACCUUUUUCGUGCAGCAAUCAAUUGUGGCAUAACAAGACGCCAACCAGUCCAUACCCAUUAUAACAUCAAAAUCUACCAUUUCUAACUCCACAAGAUCAGCCAUCGUAUCACGACCACAAACAGUUACUAUGCAGUUUCGAUAAACCCUUCUAGCUAUAAUAGAUUCCCCGACCGGUGUGGACACUUCAAAUGGCUUAACUAACAGUUCGGGUAUUCUUUCGAACUUUCCAGCAACCAAUGGAGUAACAUAAGAUAAUGUAGAACCGGGAUCAAUUAAGGCAUAUAAAUUGAAUGAAAAUAUAGCCAACAUACCCGUAACCACAUCUGGAGAAGCCUCUAAAUUCUGUCGAUCUGCUAGAGCAUACGUACGAUUUUGAGCCCCGCUAGAACUCGUGGCUCCUCUAUCACCUCUAACACGACCCAUUGGCUGUGCACCCCUUCCUGAAUAAGGCAUCGAUGAUGAUGAUGCAACAAAUGACCCCGUAGGUCGUGCCAUACCCCCUAUGUCCCUUCGUGGGCAUUCCCUCAUCAUAUGCCCCGACAUACCGCACCAAAAGCAAACAUUGGUCCCCAGCCGACAUGCGCCCAAAUGAUACCUUCCACAUUUAUUGCAUGGCUCUCGAGGAGGUCUUGAUUGGCUCAUAUUCCCUUGACCUUGGUACCCCACUGUCCGCGAACUCUGACUCUCACUUCUGUGCCCAAAUUGAUUUCCUCUGAACCCUUGGAACUGUGGUGGGGCACUAGCUGUAGAAUAAGAGGAUAAUGGCCUAGGUGGUCUAGCAGAAAACUGUGGUCUGAACCCUCUUUCGAAUGCCAUGAACUGCCCUGUAGAUCUGGCCCUCUUGGAAUAUCCUCUUUCUGAUUCCUGUGUUCUUCUCCUCUGCCUCUGAUCUUCCAUUUUUUGUGCAAAAGCUUGGAUUCUCGCUAUGUCCAUAUCUUUGUUCAAAGCAGCAAUAGUACAAUCUCUAACCAGAUAUGGAUCUAGCCUAUCCACAUAUUGAUGAACUCUGUCAACCAUAGUAGCUACAACAUUAGGAGCAUAUCUCGACAAGGAAUUAAAUCGAAGACUGUACUCCCUCACGCUCAUAUUCCCCUGACGAAGAUUUAAAAACUGAUCUGCACGGGCCUGACGAAUCUCGAAUGGAAGAUAAUGAUCAAGAAAUGCCUCUUUGAACUCCUUCCAAGUAGCUGGGGGUGCAUCAAUACCCCUAGAUCGUUUCCAGUCCUCAUACCAAUAUAUAGCCUCCCCUUUAAAUCUAUACGCCGCUAACUCCACUGUCUCUCUACCCGUUACAUGCAUAACAUCCAAGGCCCUUUGAAUUUGAUCGAUAAAGUCCUGUGGGUCCUCGUUAAGAUCUGAUCCAGUAAAAGUGGGAGGAUCCAUCUUAAGAAAAUCCUGUGUUCGAAGGCUAGCCGCCCUAUCUAUACCACUAGGACCUGCAGUAGGAAUGGCUUGCCCUUGAGCUUGCCCAGCAACUAUACGAGUCAAAAGUUGCACUGCAUUUCUAAGAUCUUGAUCAACAACAUUAAUAGGUGGCUCUGCGGAUAUAGUUCUCCUCCCCCUUAUUUCUUCCGGACUGGAGGAAGUUUCUGAUGCAUGCUCAGCUGGAGCCUCACUUUGAUUAGCUGGUAUAGUGGGUGACUUACUAGUCCCCUCUCCGGCAGCCACAUCUACUUGCUUACCGGUAUUCUUGCUUCUGGUAACCGGCAUCAUUACUAUAAUAAGAGAAACAAACUGAUUCAGUGGUCAACUAUGACUUCAUAUACAAUAUAAGCUCUAUCGCACGAUCUAAGACAUGAAGAAAAGAAACAAUUCCUAAAUGUCCAUAGCCUCCUGUUUAUAGAUGUGGUGCACAACACACCGAUAAACAAGACCCUACGUAGACACGGCUUUGUAGACUCACUAGGACGAACCUCUCUGAUACCACUUUUGUCACGCCCCAAAAUCCCAUCGGGCCGGACUGGCACCCGAAGCCGAGAAGGCCCGGGAGAACCCGUUCAAAUACCUGUACUUUCACUUACAUGUCACCAAAAAAAUUGGACAGCACUUCGUUGCAUAUAGAAAGGUCUAAUUACCUGUAUCAGCACAACACGCACAAAUAUAUAUAUAUAAUACUUGGCCGUCGGGGCCACCACAUAUACAAAUAUAACGUUACUAUAUAAACUUCCAUGACUUUACCCUUCCUUAUGUCUACAAAGCCUCUAGGAUAUACAUGACAUAACUAGGGUCGGGACAAACCCCCGCCCACACGUGACUCAUGUACAAUAACAAAACAUAAGGAACCGACUCGGAAAGCUCCGAAGCAAACUGGAGCUCACCAACAAUAGCUGUAUGACCUGGCUCCUACUUGUGCGGUGUAUGAGUUGAGGUACCUGUGCCUGCAGCAUGAAAUGCAGGUCCCCCGUGAGGGACGUCAGUACGAAAUAUGUACUGAGUAUGUAAAGCUGUAAAUAAUCACAUAUGAUAUAGGAGCUCAAUAGAAAUCAGAAACAAGUGAAUAAGUCGUAAUAGGAGUGGACCACACUUACUAGAACUUGUGACAACCUGUACAUUGUAUUUAUUCAAUCACUUUACCUUCGUUCUUAUCGUCUUUGUAAUCAUUACUGUACUGUACUGUGACCAUUAGGAUGCCUCCAGUACAUAUCAACUGGGAUCGACCCAUGCUAGGCUUAUGCCCCUGGGAUACCACCCAUAAACACAUGAAAUAGGGAUCGACCCAUGCUAGGCUUAUGCCCCUGGGAUACCACCCGAUAAGAGAGAACUUUCAUCACUUAGUUCAAUUAAUCUUUGAGAUUGUUAUUUCGGUCGUCACCACAUUUUUGAUACCUUGAAACAAUGAUACAUCAAUAGGAACCAAGUAAUAGACCUUCUAUACAAUAACGAUGUAAUAAGGACUCAUUGGUACA